AACUCAUCCAUAUGUUAACCAAUUUUCUUGCAGAUAAUUAAUUUGACAAAGAUGUUGUCAUUUGAAAACGAAUCGUUAGGUAGUUUUCAAUCACAGUCCAAUUUAAACAGCUUAAUUCAGUUUUCAAUUUCAUUUUAAAUAAAGUCUUGAUAGAAUUGUUUACCUCGAGAACAUUGGUUAACAUGUGAAUGCUCUAUGUUAUAAAGUAUAUGGAGGCUUAAACUGUUUCAUCUAUCCUCUAGUCAUAUAUUUUCCUUUUAUUGAAAUCUGUUAUCAAAGACUUGGUGAAAAUAGAAAAAAAAAUGUGUUCCAAUUUAUUUUAUUAUACUAAAGUGUGAUAUAUUAUUUACGUUUGAAAAUAACCAUUUUUAUAGUUGUUAGUUGAUCAGGAAAUAUUGUUUUUUUUUUAUCUCCUAACAUGGUAAAAAAUGUCUGUCAGGGAUAUUAGCCAUAUAUUUCAUAUCCAUGUUUGUUAUACUGUUAUCUUCAUGUCCCUUUUAUGCAAUUUUUUUACAAAUAUAUUUGACAACUAUUUUAAAAUUUACAAGUUUAAGUAUAAAACAAAAACACUAGUUAAUAGCUUGUUUAACAUGGUCUGUUUUGUUUUGAUUAUAUACAUCAGUGGGAAAAGCUAUUAAGUAUUUUGACCAAAAUCACAUUAUUCUACAUAUUGUGGUUUAUUUUCUUAGGUCUUGGGCAGGAUUCCUUUCCAUGUAGGGUUAAUUUUUUGCAUUAAUUGUUGAAAGAUAGAAACAAAAGUCCUUAGUUUAAUGUAUGUUCUCCCAACAAACCCUAUUAGAAUCAAAUUAUAAAGGAUUAAAUACUCAAAAUAAACAUAAAUAAACUCAUCAUAGAUACCAGGACUAAAUUUUGUAUAUAUGCCAGACGCUUGAAUCCAAAAUUUAAAAGGGCCAAAUAAAGUAUGAAGUUGAAGAGCAGUACGGACCAAAAUUCCUAAAUAUAAAGAAGUCUUUGAAAGAUCAGAUUUAAGUUUUAGGUUUAGUUGAAAGACGUCUCUCUCAACAAGAUAUUGACUACUCAACACUGUUGUACCAUACUUAUAUUGUGUGUUUAAGAUAAGGCUAUGUGUAUGUCUUAAUGAUAUAGUAGGGGGCAUUAUGUUUUCCAGUCUGUGCUUCCAUCAGUCUGUCCAUCCUGUAUCUGGCUGAAGUGCUAGUUUACUUACCAUUAAGUUGCAGUAACAUCAACUUAACCAAAAGUUAUGAACUUUUAAAAUAGAUAAUAAAUAAGGUUUUUGACCCAUAUUUCACAGUUCAGUGUAAUCACACUGGACAUGGAAAUAUGAUAUUGUUAAAAAGGAUGAUGUCCUAUGGACAUAUUUUUUUUAAAUUAAAAGAUAAUUAUAAUAGUUCAACAAAUAGUUAAGACUUCUGUAGUAUAAAUAUUGCUUUAAAUGGUAAUCAGAAGUCACAUAAUUCAUGUGUUUUAUACAUGAAUGUUACCAGGCCAGUUACAGAAAUAGGUAAUUCAUAAUAUUAUCAUUGCUAUCCUUGGCAGACAUAAGAUUUUUGUCCUUGCUUUCAUUGGUGAAUUUAAUCUCAAACUUCUUUUUUAUGUAGAAAACCAUUGUAAAUAUCAUACUCUAUAAAAGUAGAAAAUUUUUUUUUUCAUGAAUGUUGAUUCAUACUUGUAUAUGAAUGAAUAUAGUCUAGUCAAGUCAUCAGAAUUCAUGAUGUAAAUACAUAUAGAUCAUAAGUAUUAGAAAAGAAUGAAAUUACAUUUAAAAAAAUCAUUGUCAGUAUAGUUUCAAAAUUGAAGGAAUGCAUGAAAGAUCCAAAUAUGGAUUAUUUUAAUGUGUAUAUAAGAAAAUAUUUAUUGUAAUCAUUCAAAGGAAAUUGAUAUCGAAACGUAUUGAAAAAAUUAAAAAAAAAAUGUUAAAAAGGAAAAAAAUAGAAAAAUAAAAAAAGAAGAAAAAAUUCAAAAAAAAAAAAAAAAUAAAAAAAUCAUAAAAAAAUCAUAAAAAAAUCAUAAAAUAAAAAAAAUAAAAAAAAAAAAUAAUAAUAAAAAAAAGAAAUAAAUAGAAAAUGAUAAAAAAAAAAAAAACCACAAUGUCCCAGUAAAUACAGAAAAUCUGUAUGACCAGGUUGUUUCAUGAAUAAACAAAGGGUGCAUAUGAUUGGAAAUGGACAUUUGGUAAUUAUUGUCGGUAUUGCAGUGUACUAUUUCCUGUAGCCUGUAGUUACUGAAUAAUAAUUAUCAACUAUUGCCUUUUCUUGCUAUCAUCCUUUUGAUAUAUUUCUGAAAUGAACAUUUAUGUAAGCAAGUUAAAAAUGUGAUAUAAUCAUAAAAUUGUAAAAAAAAAAAAAAAAUUAAAAAAAAUUAAAGUAAAAAAAGAAAUAUAUGAAAAUUAAUUGCAAAUCCCACAUAACAGACACUGUUAUAUGAACAUGAUACCCCUAUUAAAUUUACUGAAUUAAAUUCACCAUUGAGAGUAUGGACAAUUAUCAUGAGUUUUUGUUUGAGUGUGAACCUUACCAUUCCUUUUUUGUCAUUGAGAGAUAAAUUGUAUGAAAUUUUCUUCUGAUUUGAAGUUACUUUGAAGAGUUUAUAUUAUUAUUGAAAAGGAAUAUAAAAUUUUUAUUUUAAUCAUUUUACAGGAUACAGAUAAGAUAUACAUAACUUGGAAGAAAAGCAUUCUUAUAAAAGAUCUUACAUUUCAAUAGUUUAACUUUGCUUUUGUCUUAUUGUAUUUAAAAUGAUUUCAUUGCUGUUACGAAUCCGUCCAGAGUACAUCAAAUGAACAAAAAUCCAUUGCAUGUACAUGUAUUGAAAGUUUCAAUAGUUAAACUUGUGUGUUAAGCCACAUAUCAUUUUAAUUUUAUGGAGUGUGUUAGACUUGCAUGUUGAUGUGGAAAAGUGUUUGUUUGAAUAUGUCUGUGUUAUUAAAAUGUAAGGAUAACAGCUAUUGAACAUGUAAAUACUUUAGAAUUCCUUGUUUUAAGACAUGACAACAAUGCUUUCCUUCCCUGUCUAAUUAUUUUUUUCCUGUAAAUGAAACAAGUUGCUUUGAAGGUUAAUAAAAAAAAUAUAUCACUUCAAAGUAAGAUGACCAAAAAAUAAAGAAAAAAUAUCCCCAAAGAAAAAAUCUCAAAAAAGGUUUUAGUAAUAAAUUUAAGAAACUCUUCAAAGUAAUGAACAGAUUUCAUAGAGUGGCUUGCUUUUGCUUGCAUAUUUUCAUUAUAUUGACUGCCAUUUUGACUGUACUUAGAUUUUGUUUUGUUUUAAGAGAAGGGUUGAAUGUAUGUGUGCACUUUUUGUUCCUUUGGUCAUAUUUAUUUACACAAUAGCUUUACAGAUGGCAUUAAGAUUUUGUUAAAUUAGAUAUAAAGGAUAUAUAUAUUUUAUAUUUAUUUUGUUUUUUUUAGUUUUGCAUUUAACAGAUAUGAAUCUAGCAGUCUACUUUAUUAAAAAAAAUCACAUCGAGUGUAAUUCCUAAAACAUGUUUGUCAAAAUAAAUCACUGAUAACUCUAAAAAAAAAAAAUAAGUAUGCUAUUGUGAAAACUACCUUUGAACCAGCAGAUUCAUCUCUUCUCACAACUGGUCAAAUAAAUUUGCUUGCUACAAGUUAUUAAAACCUUUACAUAUACAUCAGUGAUUCUUGUUAUUAAUCUAGAUGUUGAUUCACUUAUUAUGGCCACUGUUAUUUGGGUGUACCAUAUCUAGAUGUUGAUUCACUUAUUAUGGCCACUGUUAUUUGGGUGUACCAUAUCUAGAUGUUGAUUCACUUAUUAUGGCCACUGUUAUUUGGGUGUACUAUAUAAAAGAUGUAUGAAAGUACAGUAAUGUUUGAUAGUGCUGUUCCAGUUAACUUACCAUUGCACUUGUUAUAGUCUUACAAACUUGUGUAAAUAUUUGUUGAUUUUUUCAAAUCACUCAAUAAAACAUGAUAAUCUAGAAUAUUUAACCCUCUGUUAUAUGGAUUCAUUGUUAUAUUGUAUUUGUUUGGUUUUUUUUUUUUGUUAAAAGCCUGUAGCUUUUUUUGUGGGCAUGAUUCAUCAUUCCAAUUUUUUUUUUUCAACUUGUCAUAUUUUUUUCUAAAAUACUGUAUUUACCAUUAUGUAAGCCACUCUUCUUAUCAAUAUCCCCUUUCAAAAUUUUUGGAGAAAAAUUGAAAAAGUAUUAAUUUUUUAUCUAAGAAAACAACCACACAAAUCAUUUCAAUGUAUAAAUUGUAGCUUGGUAAUUAUUCUUUAUACUGUUGCAUCUGUUUAGCAUUUUUUUGUUAAACAUAAAUAUGAUCUAUCAAAGCACAGCUACCCUACACUUAAAAAAAUAAAUGCUUGUAUAUUUGAUUUCCAUUAUUUGUUUACACUCCCCCUUUUUUCUAAAAAAAAAAAAAGGCUUAUAAUUUGGUACAUACAGUAUUGAGCAUAGUAAAUGUAUCUUCAGUCUAUUUUUUAAAGCACUAUAUCUGUCACUAUGAAGAAAUGUCAUAUGUUGUUUUUUUAUCUACAAAGAAAGAAUUGUUAGGUUGAUACCAAACUCUUUUCAAAUGAAAAGAAAGCAAUAUUUCUAUUCAAAUGAAAAGAAAGCAAUAUUUCUAUAGGAAAUAAAAACUUUAAUUAAUUUUAUUCCUUCUUAAAUUUGGUCCAAUUAAAAAGAUUGGCUUCUAUGCUGUAAUGAGAAGAAGUUACAAAAAGUACAUUUUUUUUAAAUUUAGUAAACCCAUUUUUAGAAGAAGAAGAAACACUUCUUGCAUAUGCACCUUUACUGUACUGUUAAGUUAUGUUACUCUUUAUACAUGUAUCAUACUUCUAUAUGUGCCAAUAAAUGAAAUAUGAGAAUGUAAAAACAAAUUAAGAUUGCAGUUUUUGUAUACUAUAGAUCAUCCCAGUUUUUUUAAGUUUUGUUAUUUUUAAUGUUCAACUCUUUCGAGGACAUUGCUACAUAUUUGCAAAUAAAUGACAGAAAGAGUUUAUAUAAUUUAAGUAAAAGUUAAUCUUGUGGAAGGAAUGCUAUUUAAAUGAUAAUAAUCUAUACAAACUAUAUUAUUUGAUCAGUGUGAUUAUACUUCACAGAUGUCAACUAUUUUUGUCUGACCCUCUUUAAGGUGGUACCCAACACUUUCAUUAAAAUUAAUUUGGCUCCUUUAAUUUUCAUAAAAUUUUGUCAAAGUAUUUACUUUGAGACUAAUAAAAAUAUUAAAAUUUAAAAAAUUUUGAACCAACCGUUUUGUCAGAAAAAAUACACUGGUUAAAUAGCAAUUUGACAAACACCAAUUUUGAUUAUUGAGAAGCUUAAUAUUCCUUUUACAAUACACCGUAAUUAAAACGUUUAGCUGACUUUACAGGGUUAUCUCCCUGUAGUGUUAGGUACCACCUUAACAUUCCAAUUUGAUUAUUUUUGAGUAUUCCUAAAGGUUAAUCUAUAAAAGCCCUUUGAACCAAUGUUAUCAAGGAAUUGUUUUAUUUUCAAAACUAUGAUUAAUUGAGAUUUUUUUCUGUUUUCAGGCAUUUUUUUUCUUUCCAAAUUCUUUCUUAAUAUGUCUAAAACAUAGUCAUUUCAUAAAAAGAAAAGUUCCCUUAUAUACACUGUCCCGUGUUAUUUAUUGAAAACAACACUUUUUGCAUUUCAUGAUUAAUUGAUAUUGCUUUUUGUACUGGUAAAAUUCGUCUUAGAUACCAGGUUUGUAACUUGAAUUUAAUUUUCUGAAAGAAAAAAAAAGAAAAGAAAAAGUAGUCAACAUAAUGAUUUUCAAAGAACAACCAUAUUUAUUGUUAAAAUCAGGAAUGUAAUGCCCCUUGACUACUAGAACUUCUAUGAAACAGUUAUUUUAGGGCAUUCACCAAUAAAUAUGAGAAUGAAUCUCUUAAGAACAACUUUGUUUUUAUAAUAUCAAAGGAAAGCCAUUUAUUUUAACAGUAUUAUAUAUUUUUUUCCAUUAAGAACAUGGAGCCAAAUUGUUAGUAAAGAUAUUAGCACCACAAAUAAAUUGUGGCAUUACACAAAUGUGACAUGCAAAUUGUUAACAGUAAACUUUGGAAAAAGAUAAAAAGGCUAUAGUAGGGUAGAAUCUCGUAACUUGUUAACUUGUAUGUAUAAAAGGACAAAUUAGACAAAAAGACUUGACUUUAAUUGAUGCACACAAUUUGUUUAUUAUUUUUAUGACAAGUGCUUGUAUUUUGCACUUUGAUUUUAAUAUAGUUGGUUUACAUAGGUCAGUUAGUAGAACAAGUCUCGAUAUUAAUAAAAUCCUAGAGUUAAUAGCACAAUUUGAUUGUCAAAACUGUACUUUAUAUUCAGUUAACAAACCACAUCAUUAAACAUACAAAAACAAAUUUUAGAUAGAUUUUUAUUUUUUAUGAAAUCCCAAUUUGUUUUUAAUUAAAAGUUCCAAAUAGGAAAUAUAUCAUCCCUGUUUAAAAACUUUCUGAAUAGUUAAUAUAUUUACUACUUGAAUACCAAGUACAGAGAAAUGAUAAUUGGGCUGUUGUUUGUUUUGUAAAUGUUUACAAAGAUUUGAAACAUAUUGUUACCUUAGUACUAGGAACAUAUCUUUGAGAAGUAUAGUUAUGCAUAUUUUUUGUUAGCUUAAUAUCAGCAUUGUGUAUGCAGUUCAUUUAAGCUUAUUGUUGUUGUAUCGCAUAAGGAAAAGGAUAUUAUUUUUCUAGGAGUUUUUUUUAUUGAGAUAGAAAAGUUAGACUUGAUGUAUCCCACUUUUUUACAUUCCUGUGUGUGAUUUGAAGUGUUUAUUUUUGUCUGCACAAUAUAUUCCCAUGCAAAAUUCCUUUUUCAUCAUCAUUAUUCCAUGUUCAACAUUAAACUUGCGAAUGGAAAUCCAUGAAUACUGAAUUUAAAUGAAAAAAUAAUCCCCAGGAUUUUACAAAAUUAGAUUUCUUUUUUUUACUAGCUGAAAACAUUUAUUAACAAGUUCCCGUCAAAUAUUGUAAAUGGAAUAAAAAAAAAAGAUAAUCAUUAAUAUUCUGAGUUUCUUUUACAGUCAUUUAUUUAUCUUUGUUUAAUAUUUUUUUGUUCCUUUUAACAAAUUUCAUAAAGAUUUAUUAGGGUAAAAAAUAAGUUUUGUUUUUAAUUUUUUGUUUGCUUGCUAUGUAUGUUUAAAGAGUUUAAUUUGGUAAGGACAUGAGCAAAUGGAUUGGGGUUGCAACCUUCUUCAGUUGAUUAUUUUUAGUAAUGUUUUUUGGAAAAAGCUCGAUCACCUCAAUACAUUAAUUUUUGGAAAAGUCUUUAUUAUUGAAAAUUCUUAUGACUUGUUAAUAUAGUCCGUCAAAGACACAUUAGAGAAGUUAAUUAAAACUUUGGUGCAUGAAGAAUUUUUUUUAUAACGUUCAUUGAUGUUUUAUUAAAAGUUGUUUCAAUGUAAUUGGAACAUCCCCAUUGGUACAUUUAUAAUUUAUUUUUAAAUAUUUUUUACAUGCACAUCUGUUAUAGCCCGUUGUUAUUAAUGUAAUGUUUCUGUUAUUGUUAGUAUUUAUAUUAAAACAAUGCCACCAAACCAUGCAGAAAUUACUGAAUCCCGAACAAAACACUUUGGAAAUAAAACAAUCUGAUUUAAUGGUAAACGAUUUGCAGUAAAUAUGUAAUGAACAAAUUCAGCCUCAAAACAGACAAUUUGUCUUUUUAUCUUCAAUUGUUGUUUAAAUGUACUGUCAGAAUGUGACUUAUUCACUAAUCUGUUCACUUAAUUAUCAAAGUGUCAAAACAGAUUAUAAACAUAACUUUUUUUUCCUUUUUCCAACAUGUUUUGAAAAUGUGAUUUCAACUUUUAUGUGAUUGUGAUGAAAUUGAGUCAUUUUUUAUGAAAUGUAUUGACAAAACAAUAGCUUGAGUAAAUACAAAACAAUAGCCUAAGCAAAUAUUUUUUUCUACAAUUGAAAGGCUCCAUGUAUAUGAAAUGAUCUCAAUGAAAGCAAAAUCCAUAGCUUCUUCUGGGUCCAUCUGUGAUGAAGAGGUUCUAAAUCAUAUCAUUAUCUUAGGCAGCAUCCAGUACCUCAUUACCCAUACUUAGGAAAUUGCAUGGUUUGAUAUAUAUUUUGUGUGCAUUUUUGUCAAGACAGAAUUGCUACAACAGUCAACUGUUCAAUAUUAAAAAUGGAGCUUGUCACAGAAAUGUAUUUGUUUUUGUUGUUUUUUCAAUGCCUGUCUAAUAAACUUCCUGUAUAAUAUCAGUUAAGUAUAAAUGUACAAGGACAGUUACAAAAAUAAUAUUAAUUUAUUCUACAUGGAAAAUACUACAUGUGUAUUUGUCAUAAAUUUAAAGAGUAAUCCAACAGAAAAUCUUCAGUGUUAACAUGUGAGGAUCAUUCACUGUGAAAAAACAGAUAGUAUCUUCUUGAGCAUGCCAAGCUCUUGACUAGGCAAUGAAACUUGACUGGAAAACUUUUAACAUAUUUGAAAAUUCUAAGUAAGAACAGAUUUGAAUAUUCUGAAUAAGAACAUGCAAUUAUUUUACACUGGUACAUUCUUAAAGUUGAUGCUGUAUUAAUGUAAAAAAGAUUUUUGAAAGAACAUAUGAAUAUCUCCAGACAGAAUAUACUUGACAUUCAUAACCCUAUUCUGUAUAGGGGAUUUAUCAUAGCCAAACAAAAUUUACUAUAUAGAUAUCAGAAAAAGAGGAAAAAGUACAUGUACAUUUGAAUGACAAACAAGGGAAAUCAAUGUAUACCAAAAAACAAAAAAAUACAAAGAAUGCCACGACUGGUUUUAAUUAAUAGUAAAACCAGCAGCAAAAAGGAGUGAUACCAAAUGGUCUUAAAAAAAAACACCAUAAUGUCCCGAGUAGUCAAGGGUAAUGAUUGGAACAGUUCCACCGGGUAAAAAUCAGUCAAAUCAUUUAUUUAUGAAGAAAGAACAUCUAACAUAACCUGGCUGCCAUUCAAACAAUAGUGAUUCCUGUGUUCAUCAAACAGUUGACUGUUAGAAGUGAUAUGAAAAAUACUUGUGCAUCAAUAUUCGAUUGCAGUUAAGUAUAUCAAUCAAAACUGAUAUAUAAGACAAAGUAAAAAAGAAUACCAAGGCUAAUUAAAAAAAAGUUAGUCAUGAGCACUGGUAGUUCAUCAGUUAAAAAUCGCUGGAAAUAUAUUCCAGUGAUAAACUAUUACAAUUAUCCACUGGAAUACUUUUCUGCAUAUUUAUUUAGCAUAUUAAAAUAACA
RNAcentral lists this long non-coding RNA (9134 nucleotides) under Mytilus galloprovincialis (Mediterranean mussel). Lineage: Eukaryota; Metazoa; Mollusca; Bivalvia; Mytilida; Mytilidae. The record is from RNAcentral.